CGAUAUUCAAAAUGUCUAUUUCGAAAAGACGUAUGCCACGUCAUUUCUUUACCAAACAAGGCGGCAGACCUUCCAGGGGAUGUUAUAGAUGGGCAAACAUUCUGUAAGGAAUACUACAGGGAACCCAGAUACUCCAACUCCACUUAUAUAAAGCUUCAAUCCGACCUAGAGCAGUGCGUAUUUCGCUGCUUGGUACACGAUACUUACAGCCAUGCGAAGAUGCAGAACCGCACGUCUUUUGCAAUAGAUGGGACACCCUGCUCUGAAACUGAACCACAAAAGAUAUGCCACAACAUGGUCUGUGUCAAGCCCUAGUAAAAUAGUGGACGUUUCUGAAAGAACAAACGUGCAGUUUGCACUUCACCAAGCAGAUUGCCACCCCCUGUAGCCUUUAGCCAAGCAGAUUGCCACUCCCUGUUCGGAAUAAUGGUGUUUUUUGUAUAAAAAA
This 448-nucleotide long non-coding RNA is filed under the name Rhipicephalus microplus (southern cattle tick). Its description in RNAcentral is "uncharacterized LOC119185830". Lineage: Eukaryota; Metazoa; Arthropoda; Arachnida; Ixodida; Ixodidae. The record is from RNAcentral.